CCUACGGGAGGCAGCAGUCGAGAAUCAUGCACAAUGGGGGAAACCCUGAUGGUGCGACGCCGCGUGGGGGAAUGAAGGUCUUCGGAUUGUAAACCCCUGUCAUGUGGGAGCAAAUGAAAAAGAUAGUACCACAAGAGGAAGAGACGGCUAACUCUGUGCCAGCAGCCGCGGUAAUACAGAGGUCUCAAGCGUUGUUCGGAAUCACUGGGCGUAAAGCGUGCGUAGGCUGUUUCGUAAGUCGUGUGUGAAAGGCGCGGGCUCAACCCGCGGACGGCACCGGAUACUGCGAGACUAGAGUAAAGGAGGGGGAACGGGAAUUCUCGGUGUAGCAGUGAAAUGCGUAGAUAUCGGGAGGAACACUCGUGGCGAAGGCGGGUUCCUGGACAUUAACUGACGCUGAGGCACGAAGGCCAGGGGAGCGAAAGGGAUUAGAUACCUCUGUAGUC
This 446-nucleotide ribosomal RNA is filed under the name uncultured bacterium. Its description in RNAcentral is "partial 16S ribosomal RNA". It matches the Rfam family "Bacterial small subunit ribosomal RNA", at positions 338 to 795 of the family's 1533-position model. The record is from RNAcentral.